RNAcentral lists this long non-coding RNA (252 nucleotides) under Pan troglodytes (chimpanzee). Its description in RNAcentral is "long non-coding RNA NONPTRT000213". The record is from RNAcentral. Lineage: Eukaryota; Metazoa; Chordata; Mammalia; Primates; Hominidae.
CCUGGCAGUCACAUUUCACAUGCUCAAUAGCUACAUAUAGCUGGUAGCUACCAUGUCGUACUGUAGACGACCAUUGAUGACGAAUGAUUGCUGACCUUUUGUUUACCUGGAUAUGUUGCUUGACCCAUGGCUUCAAACAGUCCUUGUUCUUGGUACCAUAUAACCCAAUAUAUGUUUUAAAAGCAUCUGGCCAGGUACAGUGGCUCAAGCCUGUAAUCCCAAUACCAUGGAAGGCCAAAGCAGGUGUAUCAC